AUUCUAUUUGAAUAAG
This 16-nucleotide unclassified non-coding RNA is filed under the name Ciona intestinalis (vase tunicate). Lineage: Eukaryota; Metazoa; Chordata; Ascidiacea; Phlebobranchia; Cionidae. The record is from RNAcentral.